ACUCCUGCGGGAGGCAGCAGUGGGGAAUUUUGGACAAUGGGCGAAAGCCUGAUACAGCAAUGCCGCGUGAGUGAAGAAGGCCUUCGGGUUGUAAAGCUCUUUUGUCAGGGAAGAAACGGUGAAAGCUAAUAUCUUUUGCUAAUGACGGUACCUGAAGAAUAAGCACCGGCUAACUACGUGCCAGCAGCCGCGGUAAUACGUAGGGUGCAAGCGUUAAUCGGAAUUACUGGGCGUAAAGCGUGCGCAGGCGGUUUUGUAAGUCUGAUGUGAAAUCCCCGGGCUCAACCUGGGAAUUGCAUUGGAGACUGCAAGGCUAGAAUCUGGCAGAGGGGGGUAGAAUUCCACGUGUAGCAGUGAAAUGCGGAGAUAUGUGGAGGAACACCGAUGGCGAAGGCAGCCCCCUGGGUCAAGAUUGACGCUCAUGCACGAAAGCGUGGGGAGCAAACAGGAUUAGAUACCCGAGUAGUCC
This 469-nucleotide ribosomal RNA is filed under the name uncultured organism. Its description in RNAcentral is "partial 16S ribosomal RNA". It matches the Rfam family "Bacterial small subunit ribosomal RNA", at positions 335 to 796 of the family's 1533-position model. The record is from RNAcentral.